This 249-nucleotide ribosomal RNA is filed under the name uncultured bacterium. RNAcentral's name for it is "partial 16S ribosomal RNA". It matches the Rfam family "Bacterial small subunit ribosomal RNA", at positions 528 to 776 of the family's 1533-position model. The record is from RNAcentral.
GAGGUCUCAAGCGUUGUUCGGAUUCAUUGGGCGUAAAGGGUGCGUAGGCGGCGCGGUAAGUCGGGUGUGAAAUCUCGGGGCUUAACUCCGAAACUGCAUUCGAUACUACCGUGCUUGAGGACUGGAGAGGAGACUGGAAUUUACGGUGUAGCGGUGAAAUGCGUAGAUAUCGUAAGGAAGACCAGUGGCGAAGGCGGGUCUCUGGACAGUUCCUGACGCUGAGGCACGAAGGCCAGGGGAGCAAACGGG